GUCGCGUGAGGGACGACGGAUCUAUGGUCUGUAAACCUCUUUUAUAAGGGAAGAAUAAGGAUUACGUGUAGUCCGAUGCCAGUACCUUAGGAAUAAGCACCGGCUAACUCCGUGCCAGCAGCCGCGGUAAUACGGAGGGUGCAAGCGUUAUCCGGAUUUAUUGGGUUUAAAGGGUGCGUAGGCGGCAAUUCAAGUCAGUGGUGAAAUCCGGCAGCUCAACUGUCGCGAGCCAUUGAAACUGGAUAGCUUGAGUACAGUCGAGGUAAGCGGAAUAAGUGAAGUAGCGGUGAAAUGCAUAGAUAUCACUUAGAACUCCGAUAGCGAAGGCAGCUUACCAGCCUGUAACUGACGCUGAUGCACGAGAGCGUGGGUAGCGAACAGGAUUAGAUACCCUGGUAGUCCACGCCGUAAACGAUGCUCACUGGUUCUAAGCGACAGACAGUUUGGGACCGAGCGAAAGUAAAAGUGAGCCACCUGGGGAGUACGUC
Molecule: ribosomal RNA, 488 nt
Filed under: uncultured bacterium
Lineage: Bacteria
Description: bacterial SSU rRNA
Rfam family: Bacterial small subunit ribosomal RNA
Source: RNAcentral